RNAcentral lists this transfer RNA (66 nucleotides) under Adhemarius dentoni. RNAcentral's name for it is "tRNA-Pro". The record is from RNAcentral. Lineage: Eukaryota; Metazoa; Arthropoda; Insecta; Lepidoptera; Sphingidae.
CAAAAAAUAGUUUAUAUAAAAUUAUAGUUUUGGGGACUAUAGAUAAAGUUAUUUCUUUUUUUUUGA